Molecule: transfer RNA, 63 nt
Filed under: Lampyris noctiluca
Lineage: Eukaryota; Metazoa; Arthropoda; Insecta; Coleoptera; Lampyridae
Description: tRNA-Phe
Source: RNAcentral
ACUUUAAUAGCUUAUUUAGAGCAUAAUAUUGAAGAUAUUAGGGAAAUUUUAUAUUUUAAGGUA